AGAGUUUGAUCAUGGCUCAGAUUGAACGCUGGCGGCAUGCUUUACACAUGCAAGUCGAGCGGCAGCGCGGGGGCAACCCUGGCGGCGAGCGGCGAACGGGUGAGUAAUGCAUCGGAACGUGUCCCGUAGUGGGGGAUAACCCGGCGAAAGCCGGACUAAUACCGCAUAUGCUCUACGGAGGAAAGCGGGGGAUUCGCAAGAACCUCGCGCUAUGGGAGCGGCCGAUGUCCGAUUAGCUUGUUGGUGGGGUAAUGGCUUACCAAGGCGACGAUCGGUAGCUGGUCUGAGAGGAUGAUCAGCCACACUGGGACUGAGACACGGCCCAGACUCCUACGGGAGGCAGCAGUGGGGAAUUUUGGACAAUGGGGGCAACCCUGAUCCAGCCAUGCCGCGUGCGGGGAAGAAGGCCUUCGGGUUGUAAACCGCUUUUGUCCGGAAAGAAAAGGCACUCCCUAAUACGGGGUGUUCUUGACGGUACCGGAAGAAUAAGCACCGGCUAACUACGUGCCAGCAGCCGCGGUAAUACGUAGGGUGCGAGCGUUAAUCGGAAUUACUGGGCGUAAAGCGUGCGCAGGCGGUUCGCAAAGUCUGAUGUGAAAGCCCCGGGCUCAACCUGGGAACUGCAUUGGAAACUAACGGGCUCGAGUGUGGCAGAGGGGGGUGGAAUUCCCGUGUAGCAGUGAAAUGCGUAGAGAUGUGGAGGAACACCGAUGGCGAAGGCAGCCCCCUGGGCUAACACUGACGCUCAGGCACGAAAGCGUGGGGAGCAAACAGGAUUAGAUACCCUAGUAGUCC
This 795-nucleotide ribosomal RNA is filed under the name uncultured bacterium. Its description in RNAcentral is "bacterial SSU rRNA". It matches the Rfam family "Bacterial small subunit ribosomal RNA", at positions 8 to 796 of the family's 1533-position model. The record is from RNAcentral.